This 494-nucleotide ribosomal RNA is filed under the name uncultured bacterium. RNAcentral's name for it is "partial 16S ribosomal RNA". It matches the Rfam family "Bacterial small subunit ribosomal RNA", at positions 28 to 506 of the family's 1533-position model. The record is from RNAcentral.
GACGAACGCUGGCGGCGUGCCUAAUACAUGCAAGUAGAACGCUGAAGGAGGAGCUUGCUUCUCCGGAUGAGUUGCGAACGGGUGAGUAACGCGUAGGUAACCUGCCUGGUAGCGGGGGAUAACUAUUGGAAACGAUAGCUAAUACCGCAUAACAGUAGAUAUCGCAUGAUAUCUGCUUGAAAGGUGCAAUUGCAUCACUACCAGAUGGACCUGCGUUGUAUUAGCUAGUUGGUGAGGUAACGGCUCACCAAGGCGACGAUACAUAGCCGACCUGAGAGGGUGAUCGGCCACACUGGGACUGAGACACGGCCCAGACUCCUACGGGAGGCAGCAGUAGGGAAUCUUCGGCAAUGGACGGAAGUCUGACCGAGCAACGCCGCGUGAGUGAAGAAGGUUUUCGGAUCGUAAAGCUCUGUUGUAAGAGAAGAACGAGUGUGAGAGUGGAAAGUUCACACUGUGACGGUAUCGUACCAGAAAGGGACGGCUAACUACGU